Non-coding RNA from Caenorhabditis elegans, 75 nucleotides. Lineage: Eukaryota; Metazoa; Nematoda; Chromadorea; Rhabditida; Rhabditidae. The record is from Ensembl.
UCAUUUUCUUAGUACUCUUACAAUAAUCCCUCCCCACACAUGUUCGUCACACUUGACGGCUUUCUUUAAAGAUUA